This 846-nucleotide long non-coding RNA is filed under the name Rattus norvegicus (Norway rat). RNAcentral describes it as "long non-coding RNA NONRATT019279". The record is from RNAcentral. Lineage: Eukaryota; Metazoa; Chordata; Mammalia; Rodentia; Muridae.
UCCAACAAGCCUAUAUGCUCAUUAGAGGGCCAUUCUUAUUCAAACUACUAUAAUCAUCUUUCCCACUCUAAACUUUACUAGUACAAUUAAUUAUAGUUCUGGGCCUUUCCCAGUCUAGUUUGAAAUGUCCAUUGGUGUCAUCCUAGUUCAGUUUCCGUUUGGACAGUCAUGUUGGUUAGACUUUAUGGUUAUAGCUUCUGAUGUUACUAGAAGAUACAGUUUUACAGCAAAUUCCCGGAUCAUUUAGAUCUUACAAUCAAUCUUUCACCUCUCUUAUACAGUGUUCUUUGAACCUUAGGCUUCUAGACCAUUUUGUAUAUGUAUUUAUUAGAACUGGGCUUCACAACUUUGUAUUUUGAUUGAUUAUGGUUUUUUAUAGUUGUUGUCUCCAUCUGAUUCAGAGAGAAAUUUUGUGGGGCACUGGAUUAUGACACCAGACAGAAGAUCUGGAUUUGAGUUAGUCAAGAUGAGCAAUCGUAAAAGCAAGAAUAACAUACAUGCAGAGUGUCUUUCCCAGGUACAAAGAAUUUUACGUGAAAGGUUUUGUCAUCAUACUCCUCAUAGCAACCUAUUUGGAGUGCAAGUACAAUACAAGCAUUUAAUUGAGCUACUCAAAAGAACUGCUAUCUAUGGAGAAAGUAAUUCUUUACUCAUUGUUGGACCACGAGGAUCAGGAAAGACCACGUUAUUAAAUCAUGCCUUGAAAGAGCUCAUGCAAAUAGGAGACAUGAGUGAAAAUGUGUUACAAGUUCACUUAAAUGGACUGCUACAGACAAAUGAUAAAAUUGCUCUGAAAGAGAUCACAAGACAAUUAAAUCUAGAAAAUGUAGUUGGAGAUAAAGUUUU